UGGGGAAUAUUGCACAAUGGGCGAAAGCCUGAUGCAGCAACGCCGCGUGAGGGAUGACGGCCUUCGGGUUGUAAACCUCUUUUAGUAGGGAAGAAGCGAAAGUGACGGUACCUGCAGAAAAAGCACCGGCUAACUACGUGCCAGCAGCCGCGGUAAUACGUAGGGUGCAAGCGUUGUCCGGAAUUAUUGGGCGUAAAGAGCUCGUAGGCGGUUUGUCGCGUCUGCUGUGAAAUCCCGAGGCUCAACCUCGGGCUUGCAGUGGGUACGGGCAGACUAGAGUGCGGUAGGGGAGAUUGGAAUUCCUGGUGUAGCGGUGGAAUGCGCAGAUAUCAGGAGGAACACCGAUGGCGAAGGCAGAUCUCUGGGCCGUAACUGACGCUGAGGAGCGAAAGCGUGGGGAGCGAACAGG
This 409-nucleotide ribosomal RNA is filed under the name uncultured bacterium. RNAcentral's name for it is "partial 16S ribosomal RNA". It matches the Rfam family "Bacterial small subunit ribosomal RNA", at positions 355 to 776 of the family's 1533-position model. RNAcentral also lists the same sequence under 2 other names. The record is from RNAcentral.